UUAUUCCCUGACGAGGGGAACCGUGCUGGUUUCGACCUCGGUAAUAGGUCCAUAUAUGAGAAGAACCUAUCACCGGGUGGAAACUGGUACGGGUCCCCGAGUCAGUC
Non-coding RNA from Caenorhabditis remanei, 107 nucleotides. NCBI's taxonomy places the organism in Eukaryota, Metazoa, Nematoda, Chromadorea, Rhabditida, Rhabditidae. The record is from Rfam.